Molecule: ribosomal RNA, 254 nt
Filed under: uncultured bacterium
Lineage: Bacteria
Description: partial 16S ribosomal RNA
Rfam family: Bacterial small subunit ribosomal RNA
Source: RNAcentral
UACGUAGGGUGCGAGCGUUGUCCGGAAUUAUUGGGCGUAAAGAGCUCGUAGGCGGUGUGUCACGUCGGCCGUGAAAACCUGCAGCUUAACUGUGGGUGUGCGGUCGAUACGGGCAUCACUGGAGUUCGGCAGGGGAGACUGGAAUUCCUGGUGUAGCGGUGAAAUGCGCAGAUAUCAGGAGGAACACCGAUGGCGAAGGCAGGUCUCUGGGCUGACACUGACGCUCAUGCACGAAAGCGUGGGGAGCAAACAGG